UCAAGUUAUUAAGGGUGCAGGGCGGAUGCCUUGGCACUAGGAGCCGAUGAAGGACGUGAUAAGCUGCGAUAAGCUUCGGGGAGUUGCACGUAAACUUUGAUCCGAAGAUUUCCGAAUGAGGAAACUCACUUAGAGUAAUGUCUAAGUAUCAUUAAGUGAAUACAUAGCUUAAUGAGGGGAACUCAGGGAACUGAAACAUCUAAGUACCUGAAGGAAGAGAAAGAAAUUCGAUUCCGUAAGUAGCGGCGAGCGAACGCGGAUUAGCCCAAACCAAUAAAGUUUUCUUUAUUGGGGUUGCGGACAUAUCAUAACGAAGAGGUAUCGUAAUUGAAGAGGUUUGGAAAGACCCACCACAGAAGGUAAUAGUCCUGUAUGUUAAACGAAAAGACUUUAGAUAUGAUCCAGAGUACCACGGGACACGUGAAACCCUGUGGGAAGCAGGAGGGACCACCCUCCAAGGCUAAAUACUACCUAGUGACCGAUAGCGUAUAGUACCGUGAGGGAAAGGUGAAAAGAACCCCGGGAGGGGAGUGAAAUAGAACCUGAAACCCUGCACUUACAAGCUGUGGAAGCACAUUUCUUGUGUGACCGCGUACUUUUUGUAGAACGGGCCAACGAGUUACGUUAAGUAGCAAGGUUAAGCACUUAAGGUGCGGAGCCGUAGCGAAAGCGAGUUUUAACUGAGCGUUCAGUUACUUGACGUAGACCCGAAACCGGGCGACCUACCCAUGAGCAGGAUGAAGCGAAAGUAAAAUUUCGUGGAGGUCCGAACCCACGAGCGUUGAAAAGCUCGGGGAUGACUUGUGGGUAGCGGUGAAAUUCCAAUCGAGCCCGGAGAUAGCUGGUUCUCCCCGAAAUAGCUUUAGGGCUAGCCUCAAGGUGAGAGAUACGGAGGUAGAGCACUGAAUGUCCUAGGGGGUAUUGCACCUACCGAAGACUAUCAAACUCCGAAUGCCGUCAUCUUAUACUUGGGAGUCAGACUGUGGGUGAUAAGAUUCAUAGUCGAAAGGGCAACAGCCCAGAUCGUCAGCUAAGGUCCCUAAAUGUAAGUUAAGUGGUAAAGGAUGUGGGAUUGCACAGACAACCAGGAUGUUGGCUUAGAAGCAGCCACUCAUUCAAAGAGUGCGUAAUAGCUCACUGGUCGAGUGAUCCUGCGCCGAAGAUUUCCGGGGCUAAAACUUACUACCGAAGCUACGGCAUCAUUAUGAUGGGUAGGGGAGCUUCCCAUACGGGUUGAAGCAUGACCGUAAGGACAUGUGGACAGUAUGGGAGUGAGAAUGUUGGCAUGAGUAGCGAGAUGUGGGUGAGAAUCCCACAGGCCGUAAACCCAAGGUUUCCAGGGGAAGGUUCGUCCGCCCUGGGUUAGUCGGGACCUAAGCUGAGGCCGAAAGGCGUAGGUGAUGGACAACAGGUUGAUAUUCCUGUACUACCGAUAACCGUUUGAGAGAAGGGAUGACACAGUAGGAUAAGCUAAGCACACUGUUGGUUAUGUGUGCCCAAGCAUUGAGGCAGUCAAAGUAGGCAAAUCCGCUUUGAUAAUGCUGGGAUGUGAUGGGGAGCGAAAUUUAGUAGCGAAGUAGCUGAUUUCACACUGUCAAGAAAAGUCUCUAUCGAGGUUAAAGGUACCCGUACCGCAAACCGACACAGGUGGGUGAGGAGAGUAUCCUAAGGCCAGCGAGAGAACUGUUGUUAAGGAACUCGGCAAAAUGACCCCGUAACUUAGGGAUAAGGGGUGCCACCAUCAGGUGGCCGCAGAGAAUAGGCCCAAGCGACUGUUUACCAAAAACAUAGGUUUCUGCUAAGUCGCAAGACGAUGUAUAGGAGCUGACGCCUGCCCGGUGCUGGAAGGUUAAGGGGAUCUGUUAGAGCAAUCGAAGCAGUGAACUUAAGCCCCAGUAAACGGCGGCCGUAACUAUAACGGUCCUAAGGUAGCGAAAUUCCUUGUCGGGUAAGUUCCGACCCGCACGAAAGGCGUAACGAUUUGGGCACUGUCUCAACAACAGACUCGGUGAAAUUGUAAUUCCGGUGAAGAUGCCGGAUACCUGCGACAGGACGGAAAGACCCCAUGGAGCUUUACUGUAGCUUGACAUUGGGUCUUGGUACUACAUGUACAGGAUAGGUGGGAGGCUUUGAAACCAGGACGCCAGUUUUGGCGGAGCCAUCCUUGGGAUACCACCCUUGUAGUACUGGGACUCUAACCAUAGGCCAUGAAUCUGGUCUUGGGACACUGUCAGGUGGGCAGUUUGACUGGGGCGGUCGCCUCCCAAAAGGUAACGGAGGCGCUCAAAGGUUCUCUCAGUACGGUCGGAAAUCGUACGUAGAGUGUAAAGGCAAAAGAGAGCUUGAUUGCAAGACAUACAGGUCGAGCAAGGAUGAAAAUCGGACUUAGUGAUCCGGUGGUUCUGCGUGGAAGGGCCAUCGCUCAACGGAUAAAAGCUACCCUGGGGAUAACAGGCUUAUCUCCCCCAAGAGUCCACAUCGACGGGGAGGUUUGGCACCUCGAUGUCGGCUCAUCACAUCCUGGGGCUGUAGUAGGUCCCAAGGGUUGGGCUGUUCGCCCAUUAAAGUGGUACGCGAGCUGGGUUCAGAACGUCGUGAGACAGUUCGGUCCCUAUCCGUCGCAGGCGUAGGAAAUUUGAGAAGACCUGUCCUUAGUACGAGAGGACCGGGAUGGACGUACCUCUGGUGUACCAGUUGUUCUGCCAAGGGCAUGGCUGGGUAGCUAUGUACGGAAUGGAUAAGCGCUGAAAGCAUCUAAGCGCGAAGCCAACUUCAAGAUAAGAUUUCCCACCGCAAGGGUAAGACCCCAGAAAGACUAUCUGGUUGAUAGGUCGAAGGUGUAAGUGCAGCAAUGUAUUUAGCUUAUCGAUACUAAUAGGUCGAGGACUUGACCAA
This 2895-nucleotide ribosomal RNA is filed under the name Clostridioides difficile. RNAcentral's name for it is "bacterial LSU rRNA". It matches the Rfam family "Bacterial large subunit ribosomal RNA". The record is from RNAcentral. Lineage: Bacteria; Bacillati; Bacillota; Clostridia; Peptostreptococcales; Peptostreptococcaceae.